This 1376-nucleotide ribosomal RNA is filed under the name uncultured prokaryote. Its description in RNAcentral is "partial 16S ribosomal RNA". It matches the Rfam family "Bacterial small subunit ribosomal RNA". The record is from RNAcentral.
UUAGUGGCGAACGGGUGAGUAACGCGUAGGAAUUUGCCUAGUAGUGGGGGACAACUUGGGGAAACUCAAGCUAAUACCGCAUACGCCCUAAGGGGGAAAGCAGGGGAUCUUCGAUAGAUGAGCCCGCGUUAGAUUAGGUAGUUGGUGAGGUAACGGCUCACCAAGCCGACGAUCUAUAGCUGGUCUGAGAGGACGACCAGCCACACUGGGACUGAGACACGGCCCAGACUCCUACGGGAGGCAGCAGUGGGGAAUAUUGGACAAUGGGGGCAACCCUGAUCCAGCCAUGCCGCGUGAGUGAAGAAGGCCUUCGGGUUGUAAAGCUCUUUCAGAUGAGAAGAUGAUGACGGUAUCAUCAGAAGAAGCUCCGGCUAAUUCCGUGCCAGCAGCCGCGGUAAUACGGGAGUGGCAAGCGUUAUCCGGAAUUAUUGGGCGUAAAGCGUCCGCAGGCGGCCCUUCAAGUCUGCUGUUAAAAAGUGGAGCUUAACUCCAUCAUGGCAGUGGAAACUGUUGGGCUUGAGUGUGGUAGGGGCAGAGGGAAUUCCCGGUGUAGCGGUGAAAUGCGUAGAUAUCGGGAAGAACACCAGUGGCGAAGGCGCUCUGCUGGGCCAUCACUGACGCUCAUGGACGAAAGCCAGGGGAGCGAAAGGGAUUAGAUACCCCUGUAGUCCUGGCCGUAAACGAUGAACACUAGGUGUCGGGGGAAUCGACCCCCUCGGUGUCGCAGCUAACGCGAUAAGUUGACCGCCUGGGGAGUACGGCCGCAAGGUUAAAACUCAAAUGAAUUGACGGGGGCCCGCACAAGCGGUGGAGUAUGUGGUUUAAUUCGAUGCAACGCGAAGAACCUUACCUGGUCUUGACAUAUAGGGAAAAGUUAUAGAAAUAUAAGCCUUCGGGAACGCGGUGACAGGUGCUCCAUGGCUGUCGUCAGCUCGUGGCGUGAAAUGUUGGGUUAAGUCCCAUAACGAGCGCAACCCUUAUCCUUAUUUGCCAGCGAUUCGGUCGGGAACUCUAAGGAGACUGCAGGUGAUAAACCGGAGGAAGGAGGGGACGACGUCAAGACAUCAUGGCCCUUACGGGUAGGGCUACACACGUGUUACAAUGGGGCGUACAGAGGGUUGCUAAAGCGUGAGCUGGUGCCAAUCCUAAAAAAUUUCUCGUAGUCCGGAUUGCAGUCUGCAACUCGACUCCAUGAAGUCGGAAUCGCUAGUAAUCGCGAAUCAGAAUGUCGCGGUGAAUACGUUCUCGGGUCUUGUACACACCGCCCGUCACACCAUGGAAGUGUGUUGCACCAGAAGUAGGUAGUCUAACCUUCGGGAAGGCGCUUACCACGGUGUGAUCCAUGACUGGGGUGAAGUCAUAACAAGGUAGCCGUA